UCGGUGCUCGCCUGGCCAUCGCCCGGCGAGCUGAAAAGGGAACCCGGUGAGAAUCCGGGACUGCCCCCGCAGCGGUGAACGGGAACGACCAUCACCAUCGAGCACUGGGCCGCGCUUGAGCGGCCUGGGAAGCGGUGAUCAGUAGGAAAGCGUCCGGCGACGGCCGCAGCGCCCGUGAGUCCGAAGACCUGCCGA
RNAcentral lists this non-coding RNA (195 nucleotides) under Sorangium cellulosum. The record is from RNAcentral. Lineage: Bacteria; Pseudomonadati; Myxococcota; Polyangiales; Polyangiaceae.